GGACCAAUAGUGGUAGUAGUAGUAGUAGUAGUAGUAGUAAUAGUAAUAGUAAUACCAGUAGUAGUAAUAGCAGUAGUAGUAGUAGUGCCAAUAGCAGUAGUAGUACCGAUAGUAGUGGUGGUGGAGGUAGUGGCAGUACCAAUAGUAGUAGUACCAAUAGUAGAAGUAGUAGUACCACCAAUAGUAGUAGUACUGGUGGUGGUAGUAGUAGUAGUAGUACCAAUAGUAGUAGUAAUAGUAGUACCAAUAGUAGUGGUGGUGGUGGUAGUAGUACCAAUACCAGUAGUAGUAGUGGUAGUGCAGUAGUAGUAGUAGUAGUAGUAGUAGUACCACUACUAGCAGUAGUAGCAGUAGUAGUAGUGGUGGUGGUAGUAGUAGUACCAAUAGUAGUAGUAGUGGUAGUAGUUGUGGUAGUGGUAGUUGUAGUGGUAGUGGUGGUGGUGGUGGUUGUAGUAGUAGUAGUAGUGGUAGUUGUGGUGGUAGUUGUAGUGGGGGUGGUGGUGGAAGUAGUUGUAGUGGUGGUGGUAGUGGUGGUGUUUGUAGUAGUGGUAGUAGUAGUGGUGGUAGUUGUAGUAGUGGUAGUUGUAGUAGUGGUGGUGGUGGUGGUGGUGGUGGUGGUAGUUGUAGUGGUGGUAGUGGUGGUGUUUGUAGUAGUGGUGGUAGUAGUGGUGGUGUUAGUAGUGGUAGUUGUAGUAGUGGUAGUAGUAGUAGUAGUAGCGGUGGUAGUAGUGGUAGUUGUAGUUGUAGUAGUAGUGGUAGUGGUAGUUGUAGUAGUGGUAGUUGUAGUAGUAGUGGUGGUGGAGGUGGUAGUUGUGGUAGUAGUAGUAGUGGUAGUUGUGGUAGUAGUAGUAGUGGUAGUUGUGGUAGUUGUAGUAGUGGUGGUGGUAGUUGUAGUAGUGGUGGUGGUAGUUGUAGUAGUAGAGUGGUAGUUGUAGUAGUAGUGGUGGUGGUAGUAGUGGAAGUAGUAGUAGUGGUAGUUGUAGUGGUGGUGUUAAAAGUUGUAGUAGUGGUGGUAGUGGUAGUAGUGGUAGUUGUAGUAGUGGUGGUGUUAAAAGUUGUAGUAGUGGUGGUAGUGGUAGUAGUGGUAGUUGUUGUAGUGGUGGUGGUGGUGGUGGUAGUUGUAGUAGUAGUGGUAGUUGUAGUGGUUGUGGUAGUAGUAGUGGUGGUGGUUGUAGUGGUAGGUGUAGUGGUGGUGGUGGUGGUGGUAGUUGUAGUAGUAGUUCCACUAGUAGUAGUAGUAGUAGUAGUAGUAGUAGCAGUACCAAUAGUAGUAGUAGUAGUGGUGGUGGUAGUUGUAGUAGUGGUGGUGGUAGUUGUAGUAGUAGAGUGGUAGUUGUAGUAGUAGUGGUGGUGGUAGUAGUGGAAGUAGUAGUAGUGGUAGUUGUAGUGGUGGUGUUAAAAGUUGUAGUAGUGGUGGUAGUAGUGGUAGUUGUAGUAGUAGUGGUGGUGGUAGUUGUGGUAGUUGUAGUAGUUGUAGUAGUAGUAGUAGUAGUAGUAGCAGUACCAAUAGUAGUAGUAGUGGUGGUGGUAAUGGUAGUUGUAGUAGUAGUGGUGGUAGUAGUAGUGGUGGUGGAGGUGGUAGUUGUAGUAGUGGUAGUUGUAGUAGUAGUGGGGGUGGUGGUAGUUGCAGUGGUGGUGGUAGUUGUGGUGGUGGUAGUAGUAGUAGUAGUGGUGGUGGUAGUUGUAGUGGUGGUGGAGGUGGUAGUUGUAGUAGUAGUGGUGGUGGUGGUAGUUGUGGAGGUGGUAGUUGUAGUAGUAGUGGUGGUGGUAGUUGUGGUAGUUGUAGUAGUUGUAGUAGUAGUAGUAGUAGUAGUAGCAGUACCAAUAGUAGUAGUAGUGGUGGUGGUGGUAGUAGUUGUAGUAGUAGUAGUGGCGGUGGUGGUGUUAGUUGUAGUGGUGGUGGAGGUGGUGGUAGUUGUAGUGGUAGUAGUAGUAGCAGUAACAAUGGUAGUACCACUAGUAGUAGUAGUAGUAGUAGUAGUAGCAGUACCAAUAGUAGUAGUGGUGGUGGUGGUGGUAGUUGUAGUGGUGGUGGAGGUGGUGGUUGUAGUAGUAGUAGUGGUGGUGGAGGUGGUGGUUGUAGUAGUAGUGGUGGUGGUAGUUGUAGUAGUAGUGGUGGUGGUGGUAGUUGUAGUAGUAGUGGUGGUUGUGGUAGUUGUAGUAGUAGUGGUGGUGGAGGUGGUGGUUGUAGUAGUGGUGGAGGUGGUAGUUGUAGUGGUGGUGGUAGUUGUAGUAGUAGUAGUAGUACCACUAGUAGUAGUAGUGGUGGUGGUGGUGGUGGUAGUUGUAGUAGUAGUAGUAGUACCACUAGUAGUAGUAGUAGUAGUAGUAGUAGCAGUACCAAUAGUAGUAGUAGUGGUGGUGGUAAUGGUAGUGGUGGUAGUAGUAGUGGUGGUAGUAGUAGUGGUGGUGGAGGUGGUAGUGGUAGUAGUAGUUGUAGUAGUGGUAGUUGUACUAGUAGUGGGGGUGGUGGUAGUUGUAGUGGUGGUGGUGGUAGUGGUAGUAGUAGUAGUGGUGGUGGUAGUUGUAGUAGUAGUGGUGGUGGUGGAGGUGGUGGUUGUAGUAGUAGUGGUGGUGGUAGUUGUAGUAGUAGUGGUGGUGGUGGUAGUUGUAGUGGUGGAGGUGGUAGUUGUGGUGGUGGUGGUAGUUGUAGUGGUGGUGGAGGUGGUGGUAGUUGUAGUGGUAGUAGUAGUAGCAGUAACAAUGGUAGUACCACUAGUAGUAGUAGUAGUAGUAGUAGUAGCAGUACCAAUAGUAGUAGUGGUGGUGGUGGUGGUGGUAGUUGUAGUGGUGGUGGAGGUGGUGGUUGUAGUAGUAGUAGUGGUGGUGGUAGUUGUAGUAGUAGUGGUGGUGGUGGUAGUUGUAGUAGUAGUGGUGGUGGUAGUUGUAGUAGUAGUAGUAGUAGUAGUACCACUAGUAGUAGUAGUAGUAGCAGUACCAAUAGUAGUAGUAGUGUUGGUGGUAGUUGUAGUAGUAGUAGUAGUAGUAGUAGUAGUAGUAGCAGUACCAAUAGUGGUGGUAGUUGUAGUGGUAGUAGUAGUAGCAGUACCAAUGGUAGUACCACUAGUAGUAGUAGUAGUAUCAGUACCAAUAGUAGUAGUAGUGGUGGUGGUGGUGGUAGUUGUAGUAGUAGUGGAGGUGGUGGUUGUAGUAGUAGUGGUGGUGGUAGUUGUAGUGGUGGUGGUUGUAGUGGUGGUGGUAGUUGUGGUGGUGGUGGUAGUUGUAGUAGUAGUGGUAGUUGUAGUAGUAGUGGAGGUGGUGGUUGUGGUGGAGGUGGUAGUUGUAGUAGUAGUGGUGGUGGUGGUAGUUGUAGUAGUAGUAGUACCACUAGUAGUAGUAGUAGUAGCAGUACCAAUAGUAGUAGUAGUGGUGGUGGUAGUAGUUGUAGUAGUAGUAGUGGCGGUGGUAGUGGUGGUGUUAGUUGCAGUAGUAGUGGUGGUGGUAGUUGUAGUAGUAGUGGUGGUGGUAGUUGUUGUAGUAGUGGUGGAGGUGGUAGUUGUAAUAGUAGUGGUGGUGGUAGUAGUAGUGGUGGUGGUGGUGGUAGUUGUAGUAGUAGUAGUAGUAGUAGUAGUACCACUAGUAGUAGUAGUAGUAGCAGUACCAAUAGUAGUAGUAGUGGUGGUGGUUGUAGUAGUAGUGGCGGUGUUGGUGGUGGUGUUAGUUGUAGUGGUGGUGGUGGUAGUAGUAGUAGUAGUAGUAGUAGUAGUAGUAGUAGUAGUAGUAGUAGUAGUAGUAGUAGUAGUAGUAGUAGUAGUGGUGGAGGUGGUGGUAGUUGUAGUGGUAGUAGUAGUAGCAGUACCAAUAGUAGUACCACUAGUAGUAGUAGUAGUAGUAGUAGUAGUAGUAGUAGCAGUACCAAUAGUAGUAGUAGUGGUGGUGGUGGUAGUUGUAGUGGUGGUGGUAGUUGUAGUAGUACCACUAGUAGUAGUAGUAGUAGCAGUACCAAUAGUAGUGGUGGUGGUAGUAGUAGCAGUACCAAUAGUAGUGGUGGUAGUAGUCGUAGUGGUGGUGGUAGUACCAGUAGUAGUAGUAGUGGUGUUGGUAAUAGUAGUAGUAGUAGUAGUAGUAGUGGUGUUGGUAGUAAUAGUUGCAGUAGUAGUGUCAUUGACCAUGUGAUGGUUUACUAAUAGUUUUUCCCAGUGUCCACAGAAGUGUGGAGGUUGGACAUCUGUUUCCUCUUCUUUCCUCACCCUCUUCCUGCUUUCCUCUCAUCUCUCCAUCGCGGGGCCAGAAUGAGCUAAUAAUGAGCCAUGAUGAGUGUUCCUCAACAGACCGAAGGGAACUUAACAAGAAGAGAGGAAGAAGUGCAGGUCUUCAGGUUGUAAUGUGAAUAGCAGGACAGACUGCUCAUUAAAGCAGCUCACUGCAUCGUCACAAACACACAGGGGCUUUUAUGAGAACAGAACAGAGGAAGGCC
RNAcentral lists this long non-coding RNA (4417 nucleotides) under Salmo salar (Atlantic salmon). Its description in RNAcentral is "lncRNA (ENSSSAG00000113744.1)". Lineage: Eukaryota; Metazoa; Chordata; Actinopteri; Salmoniformes; Salmonidae. The record is from RNAcentral.